Non-coding RNA from Coelomomyces lativittatus, 89 nucleotides. The record is from the annotation of a GenBank genome assembly. Lineage: Eukaryota; Fungi; Blastocladiomycota; Blastocladiomycetes; Blastocladiales; Coelomomycetaceae.
CCAACCAUAGCUCAGUUGGUAGAGCGGAGGACUGUAGUAGAAUACCUGUAGUAAUCCUUAGGUCGCUGGUUCAAAUCCGGCUGGUUGGA